CUUGCACCUCCUUGCCUUCCACCAUGAUUGUGAAGCUUCCCCAGCCACGUGAAGCUAUCAGACUAUUUAUUUUCACUGUCAUGCUGUUUUAAUCACUCACUGUGGAUUUUAGAAACUACAGAUGUCAAAACUGGCAAAGCAUAGUUCUCUAAAGAAGUUGGCACAUCCUGGGACCAAAAUCAAAAAUCUCCGUUUGGAACAAAAGCAAGAACUUCCCUGGACCUAUUUUGGCACUAAGAUGAAGCACAGGAAGUAGUGAUGAAUGAGGACACUUUAGAUGUGCCAUUUUGGCAGGAAGCAACCACCUGUGAGGCAUGAUGGGAAAAGAGAAGCAGCUUUGUAAACAGCCUUGACAUUGCUGAACUUGAUUGAUUGCGGAGACAGAGAAGCUAAAAGUACCUACUUGCCAGCUUAAAACAUGACCAUGGCCCCCCUCAAAAGGAUCUACUAUGUAAAACUGAUACAGAAAGAACUUUUCUCCCUUCAUCUUGUUAUGCUUAAAGAGGUCCCCCUGCUCCUGUAACACCAAUGCCUCCACUGUGCCUACUCUCCUGCCACUGCAGGAGUCUGUUGAAUAUUCCUUCUCUUCCCUUACUCUUCAGUCUCUCCUACUGUCCCAGAUCCUUCCCAUUAGCAUGCAAUAUGCUCAAAACAAACAAACAAACAAACACUCCCCCAAACACAAAAACCAAAGAGUCUUCUUUCAAUUCUACUUACUCUUUAAUGUCAUCUUACUGUCUCCUCUCUCUCACAGGCAAACUUCUUGAAAAAAAAUUGUCUAUACACCAUAUCUUCAUUUCUUCACCUCUCACUCGUUCUUUAAGCCCCUUCAGUAUGGCCUCUGCCUACCCUUGUACUCCAUUAAUCCUCUUUUGCUUAGAUCACCAAAGACAUCCAUGUGACUAAAGCCCCUGCACCUUUUCAUGUUUCAUCUUACCUGACCUUUCCAUAGCAUUGCCUCUGGUGGCCUUUCUAUUCUUCCUGAAGAAAUUUUAUUCUUGGCUCUGCAUUGUAUUCUUCUAGGUUGUCUCUUAUUUCUGUACCUUCCUUCUCAGUCUCCUUUGCUGGGUCUGUCCCUUCUGCUUAACUAUUAAACACUUAGUUUGUU
Molecule: long non-coding RNA, 1108 nt
Organism: Piliocolobus tephrosceles (Ugandan red Colobus)
Lineage: Eukaryota; Metazoa; Chordata; Mammalia; Primates; Cercopithecidae
Exons: 3
Source: RefSeq, a predicted model, not a curated record